AAAAAGGAGUAGACUGAGAUUAAC
RNAcentral lists this non-coding RNA (24 nucleotides) under Cricetulus griseus (Chinese hamster). The record is from RNAcentral. Lineage: Eukaryota; Metazoa; Chordata; Mammalia; Rodentia; Cricetidae.